GGGGGUAUAGCUCAGCUGGGAGAGCGCCUGCUUUGCAAGCAGGAGGUCAUCGGUUCGAUCCCGUUUACCUCCACCA
This 76-nucleotide transfer RNA is filed under the name Alphaproteobacteria bacterium. RNAcentral describes it as "tRNA-Ala". It matches the Rfam family "tRNA". From Rfam's summary of the family: Transfer RNA (tRNA) molecules are approximately 80 nucleotides in length. Their secondary structure includes four short double-helical elements and three loops (D, anti-codon, and T loops). RNAcentral also lists the same sequence under 1 other name. The record is from RNAcentral. Lineage: Bacteria; Pseudomonadati; Pseudomonadota; Alphaproteobacteria.